UUAGUCAAUGGCCUAACGGCUGAACUGGCAACUUGGAGAAGUGGCAAGUCUUCCAGUAUGGGGAGCAAAACAGCUAUGGGUCAAGUCCGAUAUCUUUAGGAGGCGCGAAGCUCCUCUUAUUGUGAGGGCGAGUUUUAUAACACCAUAGGACUGGCCGUCCCAUAUGAAAAGAUUAUAUUAGAAUUGAAUGAAGCUUUGUUUAUAUAUUGAUAAUGACAGUAUAUAUAUCGUGUCUUGACUAAUUGCGUGCCAGCAGUCGCGGUAAUACGUAAGAGACUAGUGUUAUUCAUCUUAAUUAGGUUUAAAGGGUACCCAGACGGUCAAUAUAGCUUAUAAAAUGUUAGUACUUGACUAGAGUUUUAUGUAAGAGGGCAGUACUUGAGGAGGAGAGAUGAAAUUUCGUGAUACCAAAGGGACUCGGUAAAGGCGAAGGCAGCCCUCUAGGUAAAAACUGACGUUGAAGGACGAAGGCACAGAGAACAAACAGGAUUAGAUACCCAAGUAGUCUUUGCAGUAAAUGAUGAAUGCCAUAGGUUAGAUCUGAGUUGGUAGUCUAGUUGAGUUAGUUUACUAAACUAAUGAUCUAUACAAGCCAGCCUUAGAUUUGGUCUAUAAAUGAAAGUGUAAGCAUUUCACCUCAAGAGUAAUGUGGCAACGCAGGAACUGAAAUCACUAGACCGUUUCUGACACCAGUAGUGAAGUAUGUUAUUAU
Molecule: ribosomal RNA, 712 nt
Filed under: Fusarium sp.
Lineage: Eukaryota; Fungi; Ascomycota; Sordariomycetes; Hypocreales; Nectriaceae
Description: SSU rRNA
Rfam family: Bacterial small subunit ribosomal RNA
Source: RNAcentral